UACGUAGGGGGCUAGCGUUGUCCGGAAUCAUUGGGCGUAAAGCGCGUGUAGGCGGUCCGGUAAGUCCGCUGUGAAAGUCGGGGGCUCAACCCUCGAAUGCCGGUGGAUACUGUCGGGCUAGAGUACGGAAGAGGAGAGUGGAAUUCCCGGUGUAGCGGUGAAAUGCGCAGAUAUCGGGAAGAACACCCGUGGCGAAGGCGGCUCUCUGGGACGGUACUGACGCUGAGACGCGAAAGCGUGGGGAGCGAA
Molecule: ribosomal RNA, 249 nt
Filed under: uncultured bacterium
Lineage: Bacteria
Description: partial 16S ribosomal RNA
Rfam family: Bacterial small subunit ribosomal RNA
Source: RNAcentral